Molecule: ribosomal RNA, 503 nt
Filed under: uncultured bacterium
Lineage: Bacteria
Description: partial 16S ribosomal RNA
Rfam family: Bacterial small subunit ribosomal RNA
Source: RNAcentral
AUUGAACGCUGGCGGCAGGCUUAACACAUGCAAGUCGAGCGGGGGAAGUUGCUUCGGUAAUUGACCUAGCGGCGGACGGGUGAGUAAUACUUAGGAAUCUGCCUAUUAAUGGGGGACAACAUCUCGAAAGGGAUGCUAAUACCGCAUACGCCCUACGGGGGAAAGUAGGGGAUCACUUGUGACCUUGCGUUAAUAGAUGAGGUUGAGUCGGAUUUGCUAGUUGGUGGGGUAAAGGCCUACCAAGGCGACGAUCUGUAGCGGGUCUGAGAGGAUGAUCCGCCACACUGGGACUGAGACACGGCCCAGACUCCUACGGGAGGCAGCAGUGGGGAAUAUUGGACAAUGGGGGGAACCCUGAUCCAGCCAUGCCGCGUGUGUGAAGAAGGCCUUAUGGUUGUAAAGCACUUUAAGCGAGGAGGAGGCUCUUUUGGUUAAUACCCAAGAUGAGUGGACGUUACUCGCAGAAUAAGCACCGGCUAACUCUGUGCCAGCCGCCGCGGUAA